Molecule: long non-coding RNA, 758 nt
Organism: Neoarius graeffei (lesser salmon catfish)
Lineage: Eukaryota; Metazoa; Chordata; Actinopteri; Siluriformes; Ariidae
Exons: 8
Source: RefSeq, a predicted model, not a curated record
AGGGCUUUGGUUGGUCUUUCUGUCCUGCGUUCUUAUUGUGGUGGGCUAUAUGAGAGGUUGCAGCUGUUUUAAAACAUGCAUGUUGAUGCUUCAGACUACAUGCAGACUGGCACAGACAUGAUUGGAAGGGUUUUGUGCAUGGUGUGUAAUGAAGACUACCGUCUUACAGUGCUUCAGCAAAGUCCUGGGUGACUUUGAACAUGCUCCUGUGCCCUGGUUUAAAGAAACUCUAUAUUGGUGGUGUAAUCCUGACCUGUAUGGAUUACUGGUGCAAGCCUCCCACCUUCAAGUUGGACUACUGGGCAUCUUGUAUACAUCAUAAUGGAAGCUGGAUCCAGACAUUCUCUUGAAGAGUGAAGACCCAGUCGAGGUGACUUUGAACAUGCUCCUGUGCUCUGGUUUAAAGAAACUCCAUAUUGGUGGCAUAAUCCUGACCUAUAUGGAUUACUGGUGCAAGCCUUCCACCUUCAAGUUGGACUACUAGGCAUCCUGUAUACACCAUAAUGGAAGCUGGAUCCAGACAUUCUCUUGAAGAGUGAAGACCCAGUCGAGCUUGAGGGGAGAAUUUCAAGAGGACUCUGGUCGAAAAACAAGAGGAAAUGAACAUUCACUCCAAGAUGGCAGCUUUGUAUGUUAAGGCUAAGAUGCUGAGGAGCAGAUGUUGAGACAGAGUUGCAGGAACUGCUGGACCAGGAUGCCCCCCCCUCCCUGCACAUUGCUACUUCUCUAGUUUCAGCCAAUAAACAUUUGCAGAUACA